This 4995-nucleotide long non-coding RNA is filed under the name Sus scrofa (pig). RNAcentral describes it as "lncRNA (ENSSSCG00015072584.1)". The record is from RNAcentral. Lineage: Eukaryota; Metazoa; Chordata; Mammalia; Artiodactyla; Suidae.
CGGGGAGCAGCAGCACAAAGCUUAUAUAAAAAAAAAAAAAGCGAAGACGACAAAUCCACUCCGAAGGGCGCGCCGGGCUGGAGGCACGGCGGACGCUUUUCCAGAACCCGCCCCGUCCGGGGUUCUUCUGAACAGACCCCGAUCGAUCGGGUCCCCGCUGGCCAAACGCUCCGAACAGCAGGACUUAAGAGGGGGGGCCGGCCGCGCUCCCCCCUCGGCGGCCGGCGGAGGGCGUUAUUAAUCAGCACGCCGCGGCCUCCCUCCAGCCUCCCGCGGAUCCCGUAAUUACGGCUUCCUUUCAUCCCGCUCUUCCGCGGCUCCAGACCUCAGGCCCGCUCCCUCCAUGCUCUGUAAUUACAAGCUAAUAGCUGAGAUGAAUUUUCUGCUGGCUCCCGGUUCAAGCACCAAUCCGCCCCUUCCCCUGACAGCCCCCCUCCCCCCCGGGUAAUUACACCCCACGAGGCCGGGCCCAGCAGGGCCUCACUUUCAGGCCGGCGUGUGCAAUCUGGACUUGCAUUCUCUAAUCACCCCUCUUGGUAAUUUUUCAUUACCGCAGAAAGAAAUGUUUGUGAACAAAUACAGGGCGUCCCCCGGCUCGGGGCCUCCGCGCCGCCGCCCCCCGAAAGGGGCGAUGCUCCGGCAGCCCUAACAAGGCCGGGGUCACCCGAGCAGAGACCCGGGCAGGCGGCGGCGGUGCGGGGCGCCACGUGAUCCCCGGAGCCGGAGCGGCCUCAUAAUAAAUUCAUAAUUAUAUUUGCCUCCGGCGUGUUCUGAGCUCACUUGCACGAAGCCGUCUUUCUCGGGGGUGGGGGCGGGGCGAGUCGGGAAGGUCUUUGCUCCGGGAUGCCCGGGGUGGCCUGCUUUAGGCCUGGGUGUUCUCUUUCAAGGAAGGUGACACCCCCUCGGGCUGUAGCUUUCUAAGGGGAUGGGGGCCUUUGCUUGCCCCCAGAGAGACCCAGACCUGGAUGUAUCCCCAAGGCCCAGGCCCCAGGGACCAGCAAGCCGAGCCAAGGCCAUUGCUAAUUGCUGGCGCUGGGGACGGCCCGAGCAGAUGGCCUGGAUCCUGACCCGGAACCAGAGAGAAGGACCAAGGGGGAGAGGGGGGAGGGAGGGAGGCAGCCUGUGUGUCCGGAGGAGACCCCGGCCCAGGAGUAACACGAGGAACAAGGCUGCCAUCCCGCCCCGGGCAGCCUGUCACUCAGCGGCAUUCGUUAAAUUGCUUGCGAAGGCGCAAGGCAGGAGCUUACAAGCUGCAGAAAGCCUCCGCCAGGACCCCUGUCAGUGAGAACAGAAGCCCACCCCAGAGCCAGCACCGCUCAUGUCUGGGGUCACUGGGCAGCCACGGAGAUCGGGCUCAGCAGCUGCAGCCAAGUGGGGACGAUGAGGGGCUGGUGACAUUUAGGGGCCUCGCCAGCCCUGCGUGCUGUCAGGUUAGGGACCGGGGGGGGGGCGUGUGUUAGGGACUGUGUGUGUGCGCGCGCGCGCGCGCGUCAGGAGGGUGAAUCCAGGCUCCAGGAUGAAGCAUGUUCAGGAGACACCCCUAGACGCAUGUGACACUCAGAUCGUGUGCCAGGAAAACCCGGGCAGAGCUCCCCAGUGGGCAGAACCUGCGGGGCCGAGGCCGCAGCUGCUCAUGGGCAGGGCUCCCGCAUGGAGAGCUCAGCGGUGGGGAUCGGGGCAGACAGAAGCCUCCAAGGACAAUCCAGGGGUUGGGGUUCAAGGCCACAGACGACUGGGAGACCCGGACAUGCCGGUGGAGGCAAAGGACGAAGUCAGGCAACAGAUGGUCGUGACAUUUGACGGCGAUUAUUCUAAGCGGGUGCUGCGUCUGGAGAAGCCCGGGACGGGCAGAUGAAGGGCUGGCAGCAGCCAGGGGGUGGCGGGGCCGGCCCGGGAGGGGUGUGGAGUGGGAGAGGCAGAAACCCAGUGCACAAUUCAGACAAAAAAGGCUGAGAGACAGGAUCAGGGCGGAGCCCAGGACCCUCGGAGGUGGUCCUGAACCACAGUGUCAGCAGUAACAGUCACAGCGCCUGGCCCUGCCCAGUGCGGCUCGGUCACCCUUCACGAUAAUCCAGGACCAGACCCCAAGCAGAGAGGUCAGCCAAGGGCCUCCUACACGGCCCAGCCCCUACCCCCACUCCACAGAUGGGUAAACCGAGGCUGGAACAGAGUCACACUGAGCCUGGGGUGGCAUGCUGAGAUGCCGAGGAGCCGGGCACGCGUGACCCCGGUUUUCCGAGCUGCUCUAUGGACAAUUUCCCUUUAAACGACAAAAUGCUGGACACAACCCCUCUUAGGGGUCCCCUCCUCUCCUGCAGGCCGCCGCAAGCACCCGCCACACGCUGCACCACCUUCCAGAUGAUCUGGGACGGGCCCCCCACCCCCGAAUCCCACAUUCCAACAGCUCUGGGCUGGAGGGUGCCCAGGCCACAACCCCGGGAGCGACCCCUUUAUGUGCCCGAGGCCCCUGAGCCCACCAGGCCACCCAGCCCCACCUCGCCCACGAAGCAGCCCUUUGAGUAGGGCCUGGAGGCCCGGGGUGCAGGACGUGGGUGGGGGUCCGAGGUGUCCGGGACAGAGGUCCCGAAGGACAGGAACCCGACCUGGCGAGGAGGCAGCCACUAAAUGCCUCCAAGUUUCCAUGGAGCGGGAGGCCAGGGCCAGCAGGCAGGAAGAGAGGCCAGGGGGGCAGGGGUCAAGGGCAGGUCCUUUCUCCGAAGGGAGGAAGCCUGCAUGGGAGACCAGACUUUGAGGGGCAGGGAGAAGAGGAAGCAAAGGCCCCCGCUGGACGGGGCUUGACCAACCUGGGCCCAGGAAUGCAGGCAUUUCAAUGGCUUCCGCCCGACCCCUCGGGUGAACAGAGGUUCCAGAGACUGUCAGAGCACCUGUCCCUUCAGUCCUGAGACGGUGCUGACAAGAGUCUGUGCAGAGCGGGCACCUUCACCUGCAUCCCCAGCCCCCAGGGCACUGAGGAGGUCCUCAGCCUGCAGAACAAGUACAGACACCAGCUGCAUCUUGGCAGGUGCAGAGCCAGCCAGACUGCACCCUGCUCUGGCGGACUGGGAACUUGAGAGUCCACGUGGCAGGACCACCAGGGCUUACGCCAAGGAACUGCAUCCUUGGUAGGGAAACAGCUGGAAGAUGGGGAUGCUGGCCUGGCCCCCCCCAAGCUUCCAGUGGGGUCCUGUCAGGUCACCAUGUGGUCUGAGCCUCAGUUUCCCCAUCAGCACCCCCGGGAGGGGUGGGGUUCUAAGUAGCCCCCUUUCAUCCGUCAACCUGUUUUGGUUUUCGUUUUUGGUUUCUUUAGGUCCACACCCACGGCAUAUGGAGGUUCCCAGGCUAGGGGUCGAAUCACAGCUGUAGCCACCGGCCUACACCAUAGCUCACGACAAUGCCAGAUCCUCAACCCACUGAGUGAGGCCAGGGAUCGAAUCCGCUGCUAGUCGGGUUUGUUAACUGCUGAGCCACGACAGGAAUUCCUGUUUUUUUUUUUUUUUUUUUCAAUGGCCACACUCACAGCAUAUGGAAGUUCCCAGGCCACGAACUGAACCCCCGCCUCCGCAGUGACCCGAGCUGCCUCAGCAGGAUUCUUAACCCAAACUGCACGACGGCGAGAACUCACCAACCUGCUUUUACUGGGCCUGCAGUUGCGAUAUCUUUAUUUAUCUAUUUACAUUAAAAUAUGCUGCACCUGCAGCCUAUGGAGAUUCCCAGGCUAGUGGCUGAAUCAGAGCUGCAGCUGCCGGCCUCUGCCACAGCCACAGCCACACCAAAUCUGAGCCACAGCUGCGACCAACACCACAGCUCACCACAAUGUCGCAUCUUUAACCCACCGAGGGAAGUGAGAGAUCGAACCCACGUCCUCGUGGAUACCAGUCGGAUUUGUAACCCGCUGAGCCACACCGGGAACUCCGAGAUAUGUUUAAAAGUGAAUCCAUGGACAGUGUCUUAGAAUGGGAGGUUUCAAGUCAAAAUGAAGAUUUCUAGUUUCUCUUGAAAAAUCAGGAGCCACCAAACCCAAGAGUGGCAACUGUCCCUUAGUCUGUCCAGCUCAGCAGCAUCCCCACCCCUCCCUACCGUCUCAGGCUGGUCAGCCUGCGCGAUGCCCGGAGACCUCGCCAGCUCUGAAACGAUGCGGGUUUGGGCGACAAACAGCGUCUACGGGGGCUUAAUAAAUGUAUGCGACCAGGACACUCGGCUCGGGUGUCAGCAAACAUCUUCGUUUAUCCAGCUUCAACAGAGACAGGUGGACCCUCCCCCUUCAGCUUGGGGGUGAGGGGCAGCCAGGAGGGAGGCCCCGAUACACGGCGGGUGGGCCCCACUCGAGUCAAAGGCAAGACUUGCCUCGAAUUAUAAAAUGGUUUUCGCUUCUGCAAAAAAGGCCCAUUCUCAUGAUGGUUCAAAGUCACAGACCAGACCGUCUCUCCAAGGAAACACACGCACUGAAUUGUGCAUGGAGUUGGACCAAGCUCACAAAAGCCUACCUGUAAACCCCGUGGAUCCAGAUGCGGGUACAGAGGUACGUGGCGUCUACAGACCCUGCAGCACACAACCCUCUAUAAAGCCAAGCCCGGGCACUGACACACCUCCCCAGCACUUCCAUCCGGGCCAAGAGGCUAUGGAGGAGCAAAGAUACGAAGCUCUUAUGGAGUUUCCAUGGUCUAAAUUCUUUUUUUUUUUUAAGUCUUUGGGGCCACACGUGUGGCACAUGGACGUUCCCGGGGCUGGGGUCAAAUCGGACCUGCAGCUACUGGCCUACACCACAGCCACAGAAACUCAGGAUCCGAGCCUCGUCUGUGACCUACACUGCAGCUCAAAGCAGCACCAGAUCCUUAACCCACUGAGCGACACCAGGGAUUGAACCCACAUCCUCAUGGAUACUACUCAGGUUUGGAACCCGCUGGGCCACAAGGGGGACUCCUCCAAGAUCUAAGUUCUAAUGGUAUUUCCUCACUCAGGCUCCUCUACCAUCUUCAAAGCCCUAUGUACCAUGCC